This 497-nucleotide ribosomal RNA is filed under the name uncultured bacterium. RNAcentral describes it as "partial 16S ribosomal RNA". It matches the Rfam family "Bacterial small subunit ribosomal RNA", at positions 28 to 507 of the family's 1533-position model. The record is from RNAcentral.
GAUGAACGCUGGCGGCGUGCCUAAUACAUGCAAGUCGAGCGAACAGAUGAGGAGCUUGCUCCUCUGACGUUAGCGGCGGACGGGUGAGUAACACGUGGAUAACCUACCUAUAAGACUGGGAUAACUUCGGGAAGCCGGAGCUAAUACCGGAUAAUAUAUUGAACCGCAUGGUUCAAUAGUGAAAGACGGUUUUGCUGUCACUUAUAGAUGGAUCCGCGCCGCAUUAGCUAGUUGGUAAGGUAACGGCUUACCAAGGCAACGAUGCGUAGCCGACCUGGGAGGGUGAUCGGCCACACUGGAACUGAGACACGGUCCAGACUCCUACGGGAGGCAGCAGUAGGGAAUCUUCCGCAAUGGGCGAAAGCCUGACGGAGCAACGCCGCGUGAGUGAUGAAGGUCUUCGGAUCGUAAAACUCUGUUAUUAGGGAAGAACAAAUGUGUAAGUAACUAUGCACGUCUUGACGGUACCUAAUCAGAAAGCCACGGCUAACUACGUG